UACGAAGGGGGCGAGCGUUGUUCGGAUUUACUGGGCGUAAAGCGUGCGCAGGCGGUUUUGUAAGUCUGUCGUGAAAUCCCCGGGCUUAACCUGGGAAUUGCGAUGGAGACUGCAAGGCUAGAAUCUGGCAGAGGGGGGUAGAAUUCCACGUGUAGCAGUGAAAUGCGUAGAGAUGUGGAGGAACACCGAUGGCGAAGGCAGCCCCCUGGGUCAAGAUUGACGCUCAUGCACGAAAGCGUGGGGAGCAACAGG
RNAcentral lists this ribosomal RNA (252 nucleotides) under uncultured bacterium. RNAcentral's name for it is "partial 16S ribosomal RNA". It matches the Rfam family "Bacterial small subunit ribosomal RNA", at positions 524 to 775 of the family's 1533-position model. The record is from RNAcentral.